RNAcentral lists this ribosomal RNA (464 nucleotides) under uncultured bacterium. RNAcentral describes it as "partial 16S ribosomal RNA". It matches the Rfam family "Bacterial small subunit ribosomal RNA", at positions 339 to 795 of the family's 1533-position model. The record is from RNAcentral.
CUACGGGUGGCACCAGUGGGGAAUAUUGGACAAUGGGGAAACCCUGAUCCAGCAAUGCCGCGUGUGUGAAGAAGGCCUGCGGGUUGUAAAGCACUUUCGGUUGGGAGGACUGCUUCUAGCACUAAUAUUGUUGGAAGUUGACGUUACCUUCAGAAGAAGCACCGGCUAACUCCGUGCCAGCAGCCGCGGUAAUAUGGAGGGUGCAAGCGUUAAUCGGAAUUACUGGGCGUAAAGCGCGCGUAGGCGGCUAGAUCAGUCGGGUGUGAAAGCCCCGGGCUUAACCUGGGAACUGCAUCCGAUACUGUCUAGCUUGAGUACAGGAGAGGAGAGUGGAAUUCCACAUGAAGCGGUGAAAUGCGUAGAUAUGUGGAGGAACACCAAUGGCGAAGGCAGCUCUCUGGCCUGAUACUGACGCUGAGGUGCGAAAGCGUGGGGAGCAAACAGGAUUAGAUACCCGCGUAGUC